GACGUAGGGCGCGAGCGUUGUCCGGAUUUAUUGGGCGUAAAGAGCUCGUAGGCGGCUCAUUGCGUCGUCCGUGAAAACUUGGGGCUCAACCUCAAGCUUGCGGACGAUACGGGUGGGCUGGAGUUCGGUAGGGGAGACUGGAAUUCCUGGUGUAGCGGUGAAAUGCGCAGAUAUCAGGAGGAACACCGGUGGCGAAGGCGGGUCUCUGGGCCGAUACUGACGCUGAGGAGCGAAAGCGUGGGGAGCGAACAGG
This 253-nucleotide ribosomal RNA is filed under the name uncultured bacterium. RNAcentral describes it as "partial 16S ribosomal RNA". It matches the Rfam family "Bacterial small subunit ribosomal RNA", at positions 524 to 776 of the family's 1533-position model. The record is from RNAcentral.